This 369-nucleotide ribosomal RNA is filed under the name Paramixogaster variegatus. RNAcentral describes it as "SSU rRNA". It matches the Rfam family "Eukaryotic small subunit ribosomal RNA", at positions 428 to 785 of the family's 1831-position model. Lineage: Eukaryota; Metazoa; Arthropoda; Insecta; Diptera; Syrphidae. The record is from RNAcentral.
GCAGGCGCGUAAAUUACCCACUCCCAGUUCGGGGAGGUAGUGACGAAAAAUAACAAUACAGGACUCAUAUCCGAGGCCCUGUAAUUGGAAUGAGUACACUUUAAAUCAUUUAACAAGGACCAAUUGGAGGGCAAGUCUGGUGCCAGCAGCUGCGGUAACUCCAGCUCCAAUAGCGUAUAUUAAAGUUGUUGCGGUUAAAACGUUCGUAGUUGAAUUUGUGCUUCAUGCAGGUAGUACAACUAUAAUCGUAGUUUGUACAUUACCUUAUGCAUGCAAGCGUAUUAUCGGUGGAGUUCUAAUAUAUAAUAGUAAAUUAUUAUUAUUAUAUAUACCUCCUAGUUGAAACCUACUUCAGUGCUCUUUAUCGAG